Molecule: ribosomal RNA, 468 nt
Filed under: uncultured bacterium
Lineage: Bacteria
Description: partial 16S ribosomal RNA
Rfam family: Bacterial small subunit ribosomal RNA
Source: RNAcentral
GACGAACGCUGGCGGCGUGCUUAACACAUGCAAGUCGAACGGAAAGGCCCUGCUUUUGUGGGGUGCUCGAGUGGCGAACGGGUGAGUAACACGUGAGUAACCUGCCCUUGACUUUGGGAUAACUUCAGGAAACUGGGGCUAAUACCGGAUAGGAGCUCCUGCUGCAUGGCGGGGGUUGGAAAGUUUCGGCGGUGGGGGAUGGACUGGCGGCUUAUCAGCUUGUUGGUGGGGUAGUGGCUUACCAAGGCUUUGACGGGUAGCCGGCCUGAGAGGGUGACCCGCCCCAUUGGGCCUGGGCUACGGCCCAGCCUCCUCCGGGAGGCAGCAGUGGGGAAUAUUGUACACUGGGCGGAGGCCUGGUGCAGCAACGCCGCGUGGGGGAUGGCGGCCUUCGGGUUGUAAUCCGCUUUCGCCUGUGACGAAGCGUGAGUGACGGUAAUCGGUAAAGACGCCCCGGCUAACUACGUG